RNAcentral lists this ribosomal RNA (433 nucleotides) under uncultured bacterium. RNAcentral's name for it is "partial 16S ribosomal RNA". It matches the Rfam family "Bacterial small subunit ribosomal RNA", at positions 29 to 507 of the family's 1533-position model. The record is from RNAcentral.
AACGAACGCUGGCGGCAUGCCUAACACAUGCAAGUCGAACGAGACCUUCGGGUCUAGUGGCGCACGGGUGCGUAACGCGUGGGAACCUGCCCUUAGGUUCGGAAUAACUCCCCGAAAGGGGUGCUAAUACCGGAUAAUGUCUUCGGACCAAAGAUUUAUCGCCUUUGGAUGGGCCCGCGUUGGAUUAGCUAGUUGGUAGGGUAAAAGCCUACCAAGGCGACGAUCCAUAGCUGGUCUGAGAGGAUGAUCAGCCACACUGGGACUGAGACACGGCCCAGACUACUACGGGAGGCAGCAGUGGGGAAUAUUGGAAAAUGGGCGAAAGCAUGAUCCAGCAAUGCCGCGUGAGUGAUGAAGGCCUUAGGGUUGUAAAGCUCUUUUACCCGGGAUGAUAAUGACAGUACCGGGAGAAUAAGCUCCGGCUAACUCCGUG